UACGUAGGGUGCAAGCGUUAUCCGGAAUUAUUGGGCGUAAAAGAGCUCGUAGGCGGUUUUGUCGCGUCUGCUGUGAAAACUGGGAGGCUCAACCUCCAGCCUGCAGUGGGUACGGGCAAACUAGAGUGCGGUAGGGGAGAUUGGAAUUCCUGGUGUAGCGGUGGAAUGCGCAGAUAUCAGGAGGAACACCGAUGGCGAAGGCAGAUCUCUGGGCCGUAACUGACGCUGAGGAGCGAAAGCAUGGGGGAGCGAACAGG
This 257-nucleotide ribosomal RNA is filed under the name uncultured bacterium. RNAcentral's name for it is "partial 16S ribosomal RNA". It matches the Rfam family "Bacterial small subunit ribosomal RNA", at positions 524 to 776 of the family's 1533-position model. The record is from RNAcentral.